RNAcentral lists this ribosomal RNA (390 nucleotides) under uncultured bacterium. Its description in RNAcentral is "partial 16S ribosomal RNA". It matches the Rfam family "Bacterial small subunit ribosomal RNA", at positions 523 to 911 of the family's 1533-position model. The record is from RNAcentral.
AUACGUAGGGGGCGAGCGUUGUCCGGAAUGAUUGGGCGUAAAGGGCGCGUAGGCGGCCCGGUAAGUCUGGAGUGAAAGUCCUGUUUUUAAGAUGGGAAUUGCUUUGGAUACUGUCGGGCUUGAGUGCAGGAGAGGGAAGUGGAAUUCCCAGUGUAGCGGUGAAAUGCGUGGAGAUUGGGAGGAACACCAGUGGCGAAGGCGACUUACUGGACUGUAACUGACGCUGAGGCGCGAAAGUGUGGGGAGCAAACAGGAUUAGAUACCCUGGUAGUCCACACUGUAAACGAUGAAUGCUAGGUGUAGGGGGUAUCGACCCCUUCUGUGCCGCAGUCAACACAAUAAGCAUUCCGCCUGGGGAGUACGGCCGCAAGGUUGAAACUCAAAUGAAUU